UACGAAGGGGGCUAGCGUUGCUCGGAAUCACUGGGCGUAAAGCGCACGUAGGCGGAUUGAUAAGUCAGGGGUGAAAUCCUGGAGCUCAACUCCAGAACUGCCUUUGAUACUGGCGAUCUUGAGUCCGGGAGAGGUGAGUGGAACUGCGAGUGUAGAGGUGAAAUUCGUAGAUAUUCGCAAGAACACCAGUGGCGAAGGCGGCUCACUGGCCCGGUACUGACGCUGAGGUGCGAAAGCGUGGGGAGCAAACAGG
RNAcentral lists this ribosomal RNA (253 nucleotides) under uncultured bacterium. RNAcentral describes it as "partial 16S ribosomal RNA". It matches the Rfam family "Bacterial small subunit ribosomal RNA", at positions 524 to 776 of the family's 1533-position model. The record is from RNAcentral.